Homo sapiens (human) is the source of this 1388-nucleotide long non-coding RNA. RefSeq lists it as uncharacterized. NCBI's taxonomy places the organism in Eukaryota, Metazoa, Chordata, Mammalia, Primates, Hominidae. The record is from RefSeq and is a predicted model, not a curated record. The transcript is spliced from 4 exons.
GCUCCCAGCGUGAGCGACGCAGAAGACGGGUGAUUUCUGCAUUUCCAUCUGAGAAGCUGAAACUGAGGUUCAAUGAGGUAAAUUGAUUCAUCCAAGCUCACAGGCUUGUAAGCAGCAAAGGUAGAAUUUAAAUCCAAGUCACUUUGACUCCAAAGCCAAUGGAAUGUUUCUUCCACUACUCUUUAUCACCUGUGCAGGACAUGCUCCACUGUUGGACCUGAGGCAAAUUUUUGUGGAAUAUCAAUAAUUUUGGAUGAUAACAGAGAAAAAUGACACCGAACCACGUGCACUUGCCAGAGAUGGACUCCAACUGGAGGCCAGAAAGCAGAAGAGCCUGGAAAUGCCAUCUAUGAAGGUCGGCCUCUGAGCAGCCCAGAGAAAAGCAGAAAUGAGACUGGGGCAGCCAAGAGUGAAUAACCAGCACGGUAGCUGACGCAGUGCGGUACACAAAGGGCGCGCUUCCAGUAAGACCUCAAGGCCCAUGUGCUGCUUUGAAUUCAACUGAACCGAAUGGAGAAACUGGUUGCAAGUAAAGGGUGUUAUGUGGUAAAGGCAACUGGACCCUGGACCGCUAGGGUUUCACUUCCAGCUUAUCUAGACAAGUGAAUCAUCAGAUUUCACAGCCCUCUUGGGGCUUGAAUCACACAUGUGCGGGAGGAGCUGCAUUGCUGGUGCAUGUGAAGUGUUUCAAGCUGUAAUUAUAUCCUUCACCUCCUCAGAGUGUCUAGACUAGAUUACGAAGGCUGGGGAAAAAAAAAAAUGACUGCAGCUUUCUGUGGUCCUCAAACAAGUGGGAAUUCCUGGCUGGGGCCCUUUUCCCAGAGUACACAGGAGCAAAUCCCCAGAAGCAGCAGCAGCAGCAGCAGCAGCAGCAGUAGCCUUGGCUUGAAGGAUGAAGAUUAAAAGGGAAAAGAGGUACCACUGCCUUUAAAAGUCUCCAUAGGAAAGAGACUCCAGUCAAGCACUAGCGGUAGAAAUAUGAAGCAACCCUGCUGUUCCUCUGCAGGAAAAGUUUUUAAAUAACUUCUUAUUAGUAAUAUUAAUAUUAAUGAUAAUACUGAAUCUUCAUAGCACAUUUAUUAUAUACUGAACACUAUGGUAGCAUUUUACGUACUUUGCUUCAUUUAAUUUCCACAAUCGCCCUGAGAAGUAACAUUAACCCUAUUUUUAAAAACAGAAAAAUGAUGCUUAGAAAGGCAAACAGAAUAUGGUCUUAGCUGCAGUUGAUUGAACAUUUAUUAUGUGCUUGCCAUAGGGCUGGGUAUCCCAGCAGUUCUCAAAGUGCAGUUCGUGGACCUCUCUGAGUUCCCAGCACCCUUACAGGAGAUCUACAAGGUCAAAACAAUAUUCAUAAAAACAAUAAAACAGCGUUUGCCUUUUCCACUGUA